CUGGGACUAUAGGUUGGGCUUGAAGGAGAAUAUGAUGGAGAUGUUGGAGAGUACGAUGGUGAUGUGGGACUGCAAACACAAGACCACAUUUAAUCACAUCAUUAGUAAUAUAUCUAGAGCGGGUCUGGAAUCCACCAAUACAAAAACCCAACAACUUCAGAAACUAACUAGUUAUUAUGAAGCUGAAACCAGAUAUAAGUUAGGUAAAGUGACCUAAUUAAGAAGAUUAAGGCGCUACUAAAGUCACUGUAUUAUUAUCAAACAGAACCAAAUUAAGAACCUUUUCUGUCUCAGCAGAAGAAUCAAAGACACAUGUAUCAAACCAAGGUUGUUUACCUGUAACUUGGAGAUGACGGGCUGUAUGGACUAGAAGGAGACAGCUUCGGGCUGGUUGGCGAAUAUGCAAGGGAGGGGCUGUAUCUCGCCGAGGGAUUGUAACUUGGUGAUGUAGGACUGUAGGAUGGUGAUGUUGGGCUAUAGCUGGGAGAUGUUGGGCUGUAACCAGGGGAGGUAGGACUGUAUGCAGGAGAAGUUGGACUAUAUGAUGGAGAAGUCGGACUAUAAGAGGGUGAGGUGGGGCUAUAUGAAGGUGAUGUGGGGCUGUAAGAAGGUGAAGUGGGGCUGUAAGAUGGCGAAGUGGGGCUGUAUGCCGGAGAAGUGGGGCUGUAGGCCGGAGAAGUGGGGCUGUAUGCCGGAGAAGUAGGGCUGUAGCUAGGUGAUGUUGGGCUAUAGCUAGGCGAGGUUGGGCUAUAGCUUGGAGAUGUUGGACUAUAACUGGGUGAUGUGGGUGAGUAUGAAGGACUGGUUGGAGAAUAUGCUGGACUUGUCGGGCUGUAGCCAGGGGAGCUGGGGCUAUAAGUGGGGGAAGUGGGGCUGUAACCAGGAGAUGUGGGGCUGUAACCGGGGGAAGUGGGGCUGUAUCCUGGAGAG
RNAcentral lists this long non-coding RNA (930 nucleotides) under Solanum tuberosum (potato). RNAcentral describes it as "long non-coding RNA (STUB_LNC003124)". The record is from RNAcentral. Lineage: Eukaryota; Viridiplantae; Streptophyta; Magnoliopsida; Solanales; Solanaceae.